This 66-nucleotide transfer RNA is filed under the name Ixodes australiensis. RNAcentral describes it as "tRNA-Tyr". It matches the Rfam family "tRNA". Rfam says of the family: Transfer RNA (tRNA) molecules are approximately 80 nucleotides in length. Their secondary structure includes four short double-helical elements and three loops (D, anti-codon, and T loops). Lineage: Eukaryota; Metazoa; Arthropoda; Arachnida; Ixodida; Ixodidae. The record is from RNAcentral.
GGUAAAAUGGCUGAAGUUUUAGGCAAUAAAUUGUAAAUUUAUUUAUGGAUUUUAAUUCUUUUACUA